RNAcentral lists this transfer RNA (76 nucleotides) under Bifidobacterium actinocoloniiforme DSM 22766. Its description in RNAcentral is "tRNA-Arg". It matches the Rfam family "tRNA". Rfam says of the family: Transfer RNA (tRNA) molecules are approximately 80 nucleotides in length. Their secondary structure includes four short double-helical elements and three loops (D, anti-codon, and T loops). The record is from RNAcentral. Lineage: Bacteria; Bacillati; Actinomycetota; Actinomycetes; Bifidobacteriales; Bifidobacteriaceae. RNAcentral also lists the same sequence under 1 other name.
GGGCUCGUAGCUCAGCGGAUAGAGCGUCUGCCUCCGGAGCAGAAGGUCGAGGGUUCGAAUCCCUUCGAGCCCACCA